GACAGAGGUGCCGAGCGUUAGGCGGAAUCACUGGGCUUAAAGCGUGUGUAGGCGGAUCGUUAAGUGCCUUGUGAAAUCCCACGGCUCAACCGUGGAACUGCUGGGCAUACUGCCGAUCUUGAGCCACUUAGGGGCAACCGGAACAAACGGUGGAGCGGUGAAAUGCGUAGAUAUCGUUUGGAACGCCAAUGGUGAAAACAGGUUGCUGGGAGUGUGCUGACGCCGAGACACGAAAGCCAGGGGAGCGAACGGG
RNAcentral lists this ribosomal RNA (253 nucleotides) under uncultured bacterium. Its description in RNAcentral is "partial 16S ribosomal RNA". It matches the Rfam family "Bacterial small subunit ribosomal RNA", at positions 524 to 776 of the family's 1533-position model. The record is from RNAcentral.